UCUAUGGCAUAAAAAACAUAUAAAUCCAAAUUACUAUAAGUAAGUUAUGAAGGUUUGAAAAAUAACAAAUAAAUAAAUUUAAAAAUUCAGUAAAUAAUUUGUACAUCAAGGAUAACUUGCUUAAGACAUCAAGAGUUUGAGCCUCACCAAGCCUCAAAAGUAAUGUAAAUACCUAUUCUAAGAGAGGCCACAAGGCCUAAGUCUUAUCCUCUUAACUACCUUCAACAUGCUACAACCCAUAUGGGACUUGUGCACCUCCUUCUUAUAAAGACUAUAUUAGUUGCUGGUCCUCCUAUUUCCUACUAGUAAAAUCCAUAAUUUUACUU
This 326-nucleotide long non-coding RNA is filed under the name Physcomitrium patens. RNAcentral's name for it is "long non-coding RNA (PPAT_LNC013812)". Lineage: Eukaryota; Viridiplantae; Streptophyta; Bryopsida; Funariales; Funariaceae. The record is from RNAcentral.